RNAcentral lists this ribosomal RNA (518 nucleotides) under uncultured microorganism. RNAcentral's name for it is "bacterial SSU rRNA". It matches the Rfam family "Bacterial small subunit ribosomal RNA", at positions 9 to 524 of the family's 1533-position model. The record is from RNAcentral.
GAGUUUGAUCUUGGCUCAGAUUGAACGCUGGCGGCAGGCCUAACACAUGCAAGUCGAGCGGAUGAAGGGAGCUUGCUCCUGGAUUCAGCGGCGGACGGGUGAGUAAUGCCUAGGAAUCUGCCUGGUAGUGGGGAUAACGUCCGGAAACGGGCGCUAAUACCGCAUACGUCCUGAGGGAGAAAGUGGGGGUCUUCGGACCUCACGCUAUCAGAUGAGCCUAGGUCGGAUUAGCUAGUUGGUGGGGUAAAGGCCUACCAAGGCGACGAUCCGUAACUGGUCUGAGAGGAUGAUCAGUCACACUGGAACUGAGACACGGUCCAGACUCCUACGGGAGGCAGCAGUGGGGAAUAUUGGACAAUGGGCGAAAGCCUGAUCCAGCCAUGCCGCGUGUGUGAAGAAGGUCUUCGGAUUGUAAAGCACUUUAAGUUGGGGGGAAGGGCAGUAAGUUAAUACCUUGCUGUUUUGACGUUACCAACAGAAUAAGCACCGGCUAACUUCGUGCCAGCAGCCGCGGUAAC